AACGAACGCUGGCGGCAUGCCUAACACAUGCAAGUCGAACGAGACCUUCGGGUCUAGUGGCGCACGGGUGCGUAACGCGUGGGAAUCUACCCUCAGGUUCGGAAUAACUCAGAGAAAUUUGAGCUAAUACCGGAUGAUGACGUAAGUCCAAAGAUUUAUCGCCUGAGGAUGAGCCCGCUUAGGAUUAGGUAGUUGGUGAGGUAAAGGCUCACCAAGCCGACGAUCCUUAGCUGGUCUGAGAGGAUGAUCAGCCACACUGGGACUGAGGCACGGCCCAGACUCCUACGGGAGGCAGCAGUGGGGAAUAUUGGACAAUGGGCGAAAGCCUGAUCCAGCAAUGCCGCGUGAGUGAUGAAGGCCUUAGGGUUGUAAAGCUCUUUUACCCGGGAUGAUAAUGACAGUACCGGGAGAAUAAGCUCCGGCUAACUCCGUG
This 433-nucleotide ribosomal RNA is filed under the name uncultured bacterium. RNAcentral's name for it is "partial 16S ribosomal RNA". It matches the Rfam family "Bacterial small subunit ribosomal RNA", at positions 29 to 507 of the family's 1533-position model. The record is from RNAcentral.